Molecule: unclassified non-coding RNA, 270 nt
Filed under: Hevea brasiliensis (rubber tree)
Lineage: Eukaryota; Viridiplantae; Streptophyta; Magnoliopsida; Malpighiales; Euphorbiaceae
Source: RNAcentral
CAACUGUUGCAACGGCAAAUACUGGACGCUCUCUUAGUAAAAAUCCAAUUGUCAACUGAAUUGGAAGAGUUAUCAAGCCACCACAACAGACACCAGCAAAGAAACAAUCUGGUGAUAUAUCCAGAGUCCCUGCAAGGAAAGCAGUGGGAUUUCUUACUCCAAGAGAAAACCGUUCCACAAAACCAAUGAGAUUCCCAUGUUUUUGUACAGCGUUUGUAAUAUCUUUUGCCUUCUGAUUUCCGAUCCCUAACUUUGAGCAAAUAUCAUCGG